GUUAAGGAGGGGAGGGAGAGGAGGGAGGCCUGCCUGUAGACAUCACCAAGGUGGAGGCUUUUACUCCUCACACUGUAGUUCUGCAACACGAGGAGGACUGUGGGUGUUAAGGAGGGCAGGGGGAGGGAGAGGAGGGAGGCCUGCCUGUAGACAUCACCAAGGUGGAGGCUUUUACUCCUCACACUGUAGUUCUGCAACACGAGGAGGACUGUGGGUGUUAAGGAGGGCAGGGGGAGGGAGAGGAGGGAGGCCUGCCUGUAGACAUCACCAAGGUGGAGGCUUUUACUCCUCACACUGUAGUUCUGCAACACGAGGAGGACUGUGGGUGUUAAGGAGGGCAGGGGGAGGGAGAGGAGGGAGGCCUGCCUGUAGACAUCACCAAGGUGGAGGCUUUUACUCCUCACACUGUAGUUCUGCAACACGAGGAGGACUGUGGGUGUUAAGGAGGGCAGGGGGAGGGAGAGGAGGGAGGCCUGCCUGUAGACAUCACCAAGGUGGAGGCUUUUACUCCUCACACUGUAGUUCUGCAACACGAGGAGGACUGUGGGUGUUAAGGAGGGCAGGGGGAGGGAGAGGAGGGAGGCCUGCCUGUAGACAUCACCAAGGUGGAGGCUUUUACUCCUCACACUGUAGUUCUGCAACACGAGGAGGACUGUGGGUGUCAAGGUUUA
This is a long non-coding RNA of Oncorhynchus keta (chum salmon), 671 nucleotides long. RefSeq lists it as uncharacterized. The transcript has 3 exons. The record is from RefSeq and is a predicted model, not a curated record. Lineage: Eukaryota; Metazoa; Chordata; Actinopteri; Salmoniformes; Salmonidae.